CUAAUGGAUCUACUUAGAUCCACCUACCAUAGUGAGAGAGUAAGAU
Molecule: non-coding RNA, 46 nt
Organism: Picea glauca (white spruce)
Lineage: Eukaryota; Viridiplantae; Streptophyta; Pinopsida; Pinales; Pinaceae
Source: Rfam